RNAcentral lists this small nucleolar RNA (139 nucleotides) under Ogataea parapolymorpha DL-1. Lineage: Eukaryota; Fungi; Ascomycota; Pichiomycetes; Pichiales; Pichiaceae. The record is from RNAcentral.
CACCGGAAUGAUAACUGGAUGGCUUGUCGGUCUCAGUCCCUCGCUGUCUUUUAAGUUUCCGGAAGAUCGAUGCAGGAAAUGCUUCUUACACAGCAUCGAUACUUGGUUAUCGACGUCUGUUUACUUUUCCUCAACAUUC